AACGCGAAGAACCUUACCAAGGCUUGACAUAUAGCGAAAAGUGGCAGAGAUGUCAUGUCCGCAAGGGCGCUAUACAGGUGGUGCAUGGUUGUCGUCAGCUCGUGUCGUGAGAUGUUGGGUUAAGUCCCGCAACGAGCGCAACCCUCGUUCUGUGUUACCAGCAUUAAGUUGGGGACGCACAGGAGACUGCCGGGGUCAACUCGGAGGAAGGUGGGGAUGACGUCAAAUCAUCAUGCCCCUUAUGUCUUGGGCUGCACGCAUGCUACAAUGGCCGGUACAAAGUGCUGCGAAAUCGUAAGAUUUAGCGAAUCACAUAAAGCCGGUCUCAGUUCGGAUUGAGGUCUGCAACUCGACCUCAUGAAGUCGGAGUUGCUAGUAAUCGUAGAUCAGCAACGCUACGGUGAAUACGUUCCCGGGUCUUGUACACACCG
This 431-nucleotide ribosomal RNA is filed under the name uncultured bacterium. RNAcentral describes it as "bacterial SSU rRNA". It matches the Rfam family "Bacterial small subunit ribosomal RNA", at positions 958 to 1392 of the family's 1533-position model. The record is from RNAcentral.